GUCUAUAGCUGUGCCACCGUGAACGUGCCCGGCCCGAUCCGGUCUGAUCUUGGAAACUAAGCGGGGUCGGGCCUAGUUAGUACUUGGAUGGGAGACCACCUAGGAAGACCAGGUGCGAUAGGUA
Ribosomal RNA from Pteropus vampyrus (large flying fox), 124 nucleotides. Lineage: Eukaryota; Metazoa; Chordata; Mammalia; Chiroptera; Pteropodidae. The record is from Ensembl.